This 497-nucleotide ribosomal RNA is filed under the name uncultured bacterium. RNAcentral describes it as "partial 16S ribosomal RNA". It matches the Rfam family "Bacterial small subunit ribosomal RNA", at positions 28 to 507 of the family's 1533-position model. The record is from RNAcentral.
GAUGAACGCUGGCGGCGUGCUUAAUACAUGCAAGUAGAACGCUGAAGGAAGGAGCUUGCUCUUUCCGGAUGAGUUGCGAACGGGUGAGUAACGCGUAGGUAACCUGCCUGGUAGCGGGGGAUAACUAUUGGAAACGAUAGCUAAUACCGCAUAACAGUAGAUGUUGUAUGAUAUCUACUUAAAAGGUGCAAUUGCACCACUACCAGAUGGACCUGCGUUGUAUUAGCUAGUUGGUGAGGUAACGGCUCACCAAGGCGACGAUACAUAGCCGAACUGAGAGGGUGAUCGGCCACACUGGGACUGAGACACGGCUCAGAGUCCUGCGGGUGGGAGCAGUAGCGAAUCUUCGGCAAUGGGCGGGAGACUGAACGAACAACGCCGCAGGAGUAACGAAGGUUGUCGGUUCGUAGAGCUCGGUUGUAGGAGAAGAACGAGUGGGAGAGUGGGAAGUACACAGUGUGACGGUAUCUUACCAGAAAGGGACGGCUAACUACGUG